AUGGAACCUUCAAAAACACAUGGAGCAACUGCGAAAAGAAAUGGCUGAGGAUAUACUAAAAAUGUCUGAGUUCAACAACUGCUACAUGUGUGCCACUGAUAAAGAACCUGGAUGUGGCCCAAAGACUGACUGGGUGGCGAAUCGCAUCUCUGCAUGUCUGGCAGACAUAUCAGUGUGGAUGACGGAUCACCACCUCAAGCUGAACCUCGGCAAGACGGAGCUGCUCUUCCUCCCGGGGAAGGACUGCCCGUUCCAUGAUCUCGCCAUCACGGUUGACAACUCCAUUGUGUCCUCCUCCCAGAGUGCUAAGAACCUUGGCGUGACCCUGGACAACACCCUGUCGUUCUCUACUAACAUCAAGGCACCCCAAUGGUGGAACAAGCUCCCUCACGACGCCAGGACAGCGGAGUCAAUCACCACCUUCCGGAGACACCUGAAACCCCACCUCUUUAAGGAAUACCUAG
RNAcentral lists this long non-coding RNA (464 nucleotides) under Salmo salar (Atlantic salmon). RNAcentral's name for it is "lncRNA (ENSSSAG00000112466.1, ENSSSAG00075049671.1)". The record is from RNAcentral. Lineage: Eukaryota; Metazoa; Chordata; Actinopteri; Salmoniformes; Salmonidae.